GGCGCCGUAGCCAAGUGGUAAGGCCCGGGACUGCAAAUCCCGUAUGCAUCGGUUCGACUCCGAUCGGCGCCUCCA
This 75-nucleotide transfer RNA is filed under the name Geothrix sp. RNAcentral describes it as "tRNA-Cys". It matches the Rfam family "tRNA". From Rfam's summary of the family: Transfer RNA (tRNA) molecules are approximately 80 nucleotides in length. Their secondary structure includes four short double-helical elements and three loops (D, anti-codon, and T loops). The record is from RNAcentral. Lineage: Bacteria; Pseudomonadati; Acidobacteriota; Holophagae; Holophagales; Holophagaceae. RNAcentral also lists the same sequence under 2 other names.